This 400-nucleotide ribosomal RNA is filed under the name uncultured bacterium. RNAcentral's name for it is "bacterial SSU rRNA". It matches the Rfam family "Bacterial small subunit ribosomal RNA", at positions 28 to 414 of the family's 1533-position model. The record is from RNAcentral.
GACGAACGCUGGCGGCGUGGAUAAGACAUGCAAGUCGAACGGGAUUAUUUUUGUAGCAAUACAGAGGUAAUUCAGUGGCGAACGGGUGCGUAACACGUGGGCAAUCUGCCGAAAAGUGGGGGAUAGCUCGCCGAAAGGCGAAUUAAUACCGCAUGUGGUGAGGGAUGACAUCUUCCUGAAUCCAAAGCCGGGGCAACCUGGCGCUUUUUGAGGAGCCCGCGGCCUAUCAGCUAGUUGGUGAGGUAACGGCUCACCAAGGCUUUGACGGGUAGCUGGUCUGAGAGGACGACCAGCCACACUGGGACUGAGACACGGCCCAGACUCCUACGGGAGGCAGCAGUGGGGAAUUUUGGACAAUGGGCGAAAGCCUGAUCCAGCCAUGCCGCGUGCAGGAUGAAGG